CUCAAUCUUACCAAACCCCACUCAAAAAGACGUGUAGGAAAACUCUUCUGUGGUUGCUUUCGUCUCCUCGAAUUUCUAUAUGGCCUGAUUGACAAACGAACAAUAAGAAGCAGCCAUUUGGUGGAUCAGUCUUUUUCAAUGGAGACUUCAAUACCUAACAGAUUACGUCACUAAUGAAAACUGAAGCAAUUGAGAGAACUUUGAUGAACCAAAGUGAUUAUCCAAUUUUGAUGAGAUCAGUAAAACAUUACAGAUCUACAUCUACUACUGGCACUGGCUUACAUCAUCACUUAAUCUAGACACAUUCCUGUUAGCUUCUAAG
This is a long non-coding RNA of Arabidopsis thaliana (thale cress), 322 nucleotides long. RefSeq annotates it as other RNA. Lineage: Eukaryota; Viridiplantae; Streptophyta; Magnoliopsida; Brassicales; Brassicaceae. The transcript has a single exon. The record is from RefSeq.